UCUGCGCUGGAUGAGCCUCUUUCGAAUGUGU
RNAcentral lists this non-coding RNA (31 nucleotides) under Homo sapiens (human). The record is from RNAcentral. Lineage: Eukaryota; Metazoa; Chordata; Mammalia; Primates; Hominidae.